RNAcentral lists this ribosomal RNA (775 nucleotides) under uncultured Neocallimastigales. RNAcentral's name for it is "partial large subunit ribosomal RNA". It matches the Rfam family "Eukaryotic large subunit ribosomal RNA", at positions 20 to 644 of the family's 3401-position model. The record is from RNAcentral. Lineage: Eukaryota; Fungi; Neocallimastigomycota; Neocallimastigomycetes; Neocallimastigales.
UACUAGAGUAGCACUCGCAUAUCAAUAAGCGGAGGAAAAGAAACUAACAAGGAUUCCCCUAGUAACGGCGAGUGAAGCGGGAAGAGCUCAAAUUUGAAAUCUUAAAGGGUUUCCCUUUACGAAUUGUAGUUUAAAGAAGUGUUUUCUGUUGAGGUUUUGGUAAAAGUUCUUUGGAAUAGGACAUCAUAGAGGGUGAGAAUCCCGUAUUUGACCUUUACUUUCAACUUUGUGAUACACUUUCAAAGAGUCGGAUUGUUUGGGAAUGCAGUCCAAAAUGGGUGGUAAAUUUCAUCUAAAGCUAAAUAUUGGCGAGAGGACCGAUAGCGAACAAGUACCGUGAGGGAAAGAUGAAAAGAACUUUGAAAAGAGAGUUAAACAGUACGUGAAAUUGUCAAAAGGGAAGCGUUUGACACCAGUGUUGUUUUUCUGAAAAUCAAUUAAAGAACUGUUUAUGCUAAGUUGUUUAGACUUUAUCAGCUAUCUGUUUAGUUUUGAGCUUUUCUUUAAUGCACUUUUCAGUUAACAAGUCAACAUCAAUUUCUUUUGCUGUAAAAAAGCUUGAGGAAGGUGGCUUGAGAUUCGUCUUAAGUGUUUAUAGCCUCUUGCCUAUGCAGUCGGAGAGAUUGAGGUCUGCAGCGUAGAUCCUUCGGGGCUAAAUGCAUUUGUGCUAAGUUAUAGCAUUUUAUAGACAACUUGUUGACUAUGAUUUGUCUUGUAGCUUACUCGCUUAUGUUAUUUUACCUACGCUUAGGAUGUUGAACUACUGAGACAUAGA